GACGAACGCUGGCGGCGUGCCUAAUACAUGCAAGUUGAGCGCUGAAGGUUGGUACUUGUACCAACUGGAUGAGCAGCGAACGGGUGAGUAACGCGUGGGGAAUCUGCCUUUGAGCGGGGGACAACAUUUGGAAACGAAUGCUAAUACCGCAUAAAAACUUUAAACACAAGUUUUAAGUUUGAAAGAUGCAAUUGCAUCACUCAAAGAUGAUCCCGCGUUGUAUUAGCUAGUUGGUGAGGUAAAGGCUCACCAAGGCGAUGAUACAUAGCCGACCUGAGAGGGUGAUCGGCCACAUUGGGACUUAGACACGGCCCAAGCUCCUACGGGAGGCAGCAGUAGGGAAUCUUCGGCAAUGGACGAAAGUCUGACCGGGCAACUCCGCGUGGGUGGAGAAGGUUUUCGGAUCGUAAAACUCUGUUGGUAGAGAAGAACGUUUGUGUGAGUGGAAAGCUCAUCAAGUGACGGUAACUACCCAGAAAGGGACGGCUAACUACGUG
This 497-nucleotide ribosomal RNA is filed under the name uncultured bacterium. RNAcentral describes it as "partial 16S ribosomal RNA". It matches the Rfam family "Bacterial small subunit ribosomal RNA", at positions 28 to 507 of the family's 1533-position model. The record is from RNAcentral.